CCAGCGCCUCCCUGCAUCCCCGUCUCGGCAUUAAACCAAACGUGGACGCCCUUGAUAGACUUUUAAAGGGAAAGCAGGAAUCGUCCUUUACACUUCACCUGCUUUUUACAGCGCAGGGGCCUCUGACAUUUGUGUAAAAUCCACCCGCCAGGAACCGCAGGCUCAGAGCUCAGAAGCGCCCUGUCCUCUUCAGGAGCCCGGGGGCUGACGCCACUCCUUCGAGGGGGCCAAGGCUGAAAAAUCAGCUGGCAAAAGGCAGAUUAAUUGGAGAAAAGGCAUACACGUUUAUGUAACGUAUGUACACAGGAGCCUUCAGCAUAAAGAACGAACGUACAGGGGAACUUGUCCACUUUUAUGCUUCUGUCCAACAAAGUAUGGACGGCCGGGUAGAAUAUGAUCAGACAAGAAGGGUGUGAUCUAACGCUGAGACCGAGUGAGGACACCCAGCAAGGCCUGUCCGGCUAGAUUCUGCCUGGCCUCUCUGAGCACACAUUCCUUCCUUCUGGAAUGAGGGGGUCUUAUGACCAGCAGUCAAACAAGAAUGCAGAGAAGAGAUCCAAUUAAUUAAUCGAUCACUUCAGUUAUUGGGUUUCUGGUUUCAAGGU
RNAcentral lists this long non-coding RNA (605 nucleotides) under Homo sapiens (human). RNAcentral's name for it is "HSALNT0198888". Lineage: Eukaryota; Metazoa; Chordata; Mammalia; Primates; Hominidae. The record is from RNAcentral.